AUUAUUAUCUCCAGGGGAGAUACCACGAUCACAAAGGUCGUUUUCCCAGGGUGAGGCUUAUCCAUUGCACUCUGCAUGUGUUGACCCCUGUGAUUUCCCCAAAUGUGGGAAACUCGACUGCAUAAUUUGUGUUAGUGGGGGACUGCAUUCACACUUUCCCCUG
This 163-nucleotide small nuclear RNA is filed under the name Saimiri boliviensis boliviensis (Bolivian squirrel monkey). RNAcentral's name for it is "U1 spliceosomal RNA (ENSSBOG00000014695.1)". It matches the Rfam family "U1 spliceosomal RNA". From Rfam's summary of the family: U1 is a small nuclear RNA (snRNA) component of the spliceosome (involved in pre-mRNA splicing). Its 5' end forms complementary base pairs with the 5' splice junction, thus defining the 5' donor site of an intron. There are significant differences in sequence and secondary structure between metazoan and yeast U1 snRNAs, the latter being much longer (568 nucleotides as compared to 164 nucleotides in human). Lineage: Eukaryota; Metazoa; Chordata; Mammalia; Primates; Cebidae. The record is from Rfam by way of RNAcentral.